This 385-nucleotide ribosomal RNA is filed under the name uncultured bacterium. Its description in RNAcentral is "bacterial SSU rRNA". It matches the Rfam family "Bacterial small subunit ribosomal RNA", at positions 30 to 418 of the family's 1533-position model. The record is from RNAcentral.
AUUGAACGCUGGCGGCAUGCCUUACACAUGCAAGUCGAACGGCAGCACGGGGCAACCUGGUGGCGAGUGGCGAACGGGUGAGUAAUGCAUCGGAACGUGCCAUUGAGUGGGGGAUAACGUAGCGAAAGUUGCGCUAAUACCGCAUAUUCUGUGAGCAGGAAAGCAGGGGACCGCAAGGCCUUGCGCUCUUUGAGCGGCCGAUGUCAGAUUAGCUAGUUGGUGAGGUAACGGCUUACCAAGGCGACGAUCUGUAGCGGGUCUGAGAGGAUGAUCCGCCACACUGGAACUGAGACACGGUCCAGACUCCUACGGAGGCAGCAGUGGGGAAUUUUGGACAAUGGGCGCAAGCCUGAUCCAGCCAUGCCGCGUGAGUGAAGAAGGCCUC